RNAcentral lists this ribosomal RNA (253 nucleotides) under uncultured bacterium. RNAcentral's name for it is "partial 16S ribosomal RNA". It matches the Rfam family "Bacterial small subunit ribosomal RNA", at positions 524 to 776 of the family's 1533-position model. The record is from RNAcentral.
UACGUAGGUGGCAAGCGUUGUCCGGAUUUACUGGGCGUAAAGAGCGCGCAGGCGGUCGUUCAAGUCGCGUGUGAAAGCCCCCGGCUCAACUGGGGAGGGUCACGCGAUACUGAUCGACUCGAAGGCAGGAGAGGGAAGUGGAAUUCCCGGUGUAGUGGUGAAAUGCGUAGAUAUCGGGAGGAACACCAGUGGCGAAGGCGGUCUGCUGGGCAGUUUCUGACACUGAUGCGCGACAGCGUGGGGAGCAAACAGG